AUAAAGUUAGUUUAAUUAAAAUGAUAAAUUGUGGUUUUAUAGAUAAAUGUAAUUUACUUUAUU
Molecule: transfer RNA, 63 nt
Filed under: Acanthosepion pharaonis
Lineage: Eukaryota; Metazoa; Mollusca; Cephalopoda; Sepiida; Sepiidae
Description: Sepia pharaonis tRNA-His
Source: RNAcentral